Molecule: ribosomal RNA, 520 nt
Filed under: uncultured Glomus
Lineage: Eukaryota; Fungi; Glomeromycota; Glomeromycetes; Glomerales; Glomeraceae
Description: SSU rRNA
Rfam family: Eukaryotic small subunit ribosomal RNA
Source: RNAcentral
AGCAGCCGCGGUAAUUCCAGCUCCAAUAGCGUAUAUUAAAGUUGUUGCAGUUAAAAAGCUCGUAGUUGAAUUUCGGGGUUAGUAGGUUGGUCGUGCCACUGGUACGUACUGGUCUCACUGAUUCCUCCUUCCUGAUGAACUGUAAUGCCAUUAACUUGGUGUUGCAGGGAAACUGGACUGUUACUUUGAAAAAAUUAGAGUGUUUAAAGCAAGCUAACGCUUGAAUACAUUAGCAUGGAAUAAUGAAAUAGGACGUUCGAUCCUAUUUUGUUGGUUUCUAGGAUUGACGUAAUGAUUAAUAGGGAUAGUUGGGGGCAUUAGUAUUCAAUUGUCAGAGGUGAAAUUCUUGGAUUUAUUGAAGACUAACUACUGCGAAAGCAUUUGCCAAGGAUGUUUUCAUUAAUCAAGAACGAAAGUUAGGGGAUCGAAGACGAUCAGAUACCGUCGUAGUCUUAACCAUAAACUAUGCCGACUAGGGAUCGGAUGAUGUUAAUUUUUUCAAUGACUCAUUCGGCGCCUU